RNAcentral lists this small RNA (754 nucleotides) under Pan troglodytes (chimpanzee). RNAcentral's name for it is "retained intron". The record is from RNAcentral. Lineage: Eukaryota; Metazoa; Chordata; Mammalia; Primates; Hominidae.
CAGGAAACGAAUGGUAAGUCCCUCAAUGGCCUCAAAGUUUAUGGCCAUUAAUAGGAUUUUAGCCUGGAGAGUUUUUAGGGCAGACUUUACUAGUUGCCCAGUAUAAUCAUAGAAAAAGCACAGCAUUCUGAAAGGAGUCACUUUGCUGAUUAUGAACCCAACUCGUUUUGCUGCAGUUGUGAAGAAAUUUGAUAUAUAUAUCUUAACGUUGUCAGCAGUUAUUUGAAAUUUGCAAGGAUAUCAUUGAAAUUUAUAAUUACCCAAGUUUCCAAGGAUCUGGCAUUUGUAUUUUUAAGAAUCUAAAACUUAAAGUAUAAUAAUAAUAAUAAUAAUAAUAAUAAUAAUAAAAAUCUCAAAAAAAAAUCUAAAGCAGAAUGAAAUAUUUUCAUUGAUUUGUGUUUUCUCUGACUUGGCAUAUAGGUUGGCACAGUUAAUUAUAUGCCACCAGAAGCAAUCAAAGAUAUGUCUUCCUCCAGAGAGAACGGGAAAUCUAAGUCAAAGAUAAGCCCCAAAAGUGAUGUUUGGUCCUUAGGAUGUAUUUUGUACUAUAUGACUUACGGGAAGACACCAUUUCAGCAGAUAAUUAAUCAGAUUUCUAAAUUGCAUGCCAUAAUUGAUCCUAAUCAUGAAAUUGAAUUUCCUGAUAUUCCAGAGAAAGAUCUUCAAGAUGUGUUAAAGUGUUGUUUAAAAAGGGACCCAAAACAGAGGAUAUCCAUUCCUGAGCUCCUGGCUCAUCCAUAUGUUCAAAUUCAAA